CGGCCGCCAUGGCGGCCGCGGGAAUUCGAUUGGAAACAGGUGCUAAUACCGGAUAAGAAAGCAGAUCGCAUGAUCAGCUUUUAAAAGGCGGCGUAAGCUGUCGCUAUGGGAUGGCCCCGCGGUGCAUUAGCUAGUCGGUAAGGUAAAGGCUUACCAAGGCGAUGAUGCAUAGCCGAGUUGAGAGACUGAUCGGCCACAUUGGGACUGAGACACGGCCCAAACUCCUACGGGAGGCAGCAGUAGGGAAUCUUCCACAAUGGACGCAAGUCUGAUGGAGCAACGCCGCGUGAGUGAAGAAGGGUUUCGGCUCGCAAAGCUCUGUUGGUAGUGAAGAAAGAUAGAGGUAGUAACUGGCCUUUAUUUGACGGUAAUUACUUAGAAAGUCACGGCUAACUACGUGCCAGCAGCCGCGGUAAUACGAUAAUCACUAGUGAAUUCGCGGCCGCCUGCAGGUCGACCAUAUGG
RNAcentral lists this ribosomal RNA (465 nucleotides) under uncultured Lactobacillus sp. RNAcentral describes it as "bacterial SSU rRNA". It matches the Rfam family "Bacterial small subunit ribosomal RNA", at positions 122 to 540 of the family's 1533-position model. Lineage: Bacteria; Bacillati; Bacillota; Bacilli; Lactobacillales; Lactobacillaceae. The record is from RNAcentral.